This 2514-nucleotide long non-coding RNA is filed under the name Malus domestica (apple). RNAcentral's name for it is "long non-coding RNA (MDOM_LNC009804)". The record is from RNAcentral. Lineage: Eukaryota; Viridiplantae; Streptophyta; Magnoliopsida; Rosales; Rosaceae.
AAGGCACGGGUCCACGCGCCGCCACGCGCACCUUCUUCUUCCUUGGGUCGCAGGACUGGUUUUUCCGGCGGUCGUUUUUCAAAUUGCCAUAACUUUGUCAUUUCUCAACGAAAUCAAGUGAUUUAAAAACGAAAGUUGUAGCCCUUGAAGAGACAAAGAGAAUGGUACCUUGCACAACACCUAGUUCGCCGUGGUUUGGCCGGAAACUUCCUCGAAAGCCUCGGAAGUCGCCGGAAACUGGGUAUUUUUCAAAUGAGUAUAACUUCUUCAAUACUCAACGAAAUUGAGCAAAACAAAAAGGAAAGUUGUAGUACUUGACGAGACGAAGAGAUUGAUACCUACCUCGACUCCUAACGCGCCGGGGAUUCGUCGGAAAAAGCCUCGAAAGCUCCGGCCAAACUUUGAACUUGUCGAUCUCCGUGUUCUUACGUCCAAAAACUUCCAACGAAGCACUCCGAGCUUCCUUGAGACCUCACUAAGCUUCCUACAAGCUUGUUUUAGCCUAAAACGUAACCAUUUAAAAGAUCAUGAACAGUGCUCUUCACGAGAAUUUUGAAACUAGGGUUUUCCGAACCAAAACUUACCUGAAAUGGAUACCAUCGUGAUCGUGGAGGUUCCAGGAGUUUGAUGGUGGUCUUAACUCCGUCGUUGGUGGAAGUUUAAGGUUGUUUUGUGGUUGGUUUGUUCGAACGGAGAAGAAGAGUGACAGAGAGAGUGAGAGAGUCGUGGGAAGAGAGAGAGAGACAGCAUGCAGAAAAUAGGGAGAGGAUUGAGGGGUGUGGGGAUCCCACGUGGUCAUUUUCCAAUCCCCAACUCCAAACCACAAAAUUUUAACCUAAAAAUCUAAGUUCCAUCCUUAUUAAUUCCAUUUUAUUGUCACAGCCCGUCCCGGAAUUUUAAUUCCGAGGACGUGAAAAGACGAAAAUGCCCUUAAACGGGACUAAGGGGCGAAAAUUUAACAAUUUGGAUUGAGUUGGACACGUGGGAUCCCCACAUCCCUCAAAACCUUCCCCAAUUCCCGUACCUUGUCUCUCUCUCUCUCCUCCCUCACGAAACUCUCAGUUCUCUCCCUCUCUUUCGAAUUCACACGGACCACCACAAAACCACCCUAAAUCUAUACCAACGACGAAUCUAAGACCACCAUUGGAACCCUGAAGACUUCACGAUCACGAUGGUAUCCAUUUCAGGUAAGUUUUGCUUCGAAAAACCCUAGUUUCAAAGUUCCCGUGAAAUGGUACUGUUCAUGAUCUUUUAAAUGGUUACGAUUUAGGCUAAAACAAAAUCACAGCGAGCUUAGUGAGGUCCCAAGGAAGCUCGGAGUGCUUCGUUGGAAGUUUUUGGACGUAAGAACACGGAGAUCGACAAGUUCAAAGUUUGGCCGGAGCUUUCGAGGCUUUUUCCGGCGAAUCCCCGGCGAAUUAGGAGUCGAGGUAGGUAUCAAUCUCUUCGUCUCGUCAAGUACUACAACUUUCCUUUUUGUUUCACUCAAUUUUGUUGAGUAUUGAAUAAGUUAUACUCAUUUGAAAAAUACCCAGUUUUCGGCGACCUCCGAGGCUUUCGAGGAAGUUUCCGGCAAAACCACGGCGAACUAGGUGUUGUGCAAGGUACCAUUCUCUUUGUCUCUUCAAGGGCUACAACUUUCGUUUUUGAAUCACUUGAUUUCGUUGAGAAAUGACAAAGUUAUGGCAAUUUGAAAAACGGCCGCCGGAAAAACCAAUCCGGCGACCCAAGGAAGAAGAAGGUACGCGUGGGGGCGCGUAGGUCCGUGCCUUCCUUGGCGCGUGGGGGCGCAACUUUGUCAUUUCUCAACGAAAUCAAGUGAUUCAAAAACAAAAGUUGUAGCCCUUGAAGAGACAAAGAGAAUGGUACCUUGCACAACACCUAGUUCGCCGUGGUUUUGCCGGAAACUUCCUCGAAAGCCUCGGAGGUCGCCGAAAACUGGGUAUUUUUCAAAUGAGUAUAACUUAUUCAAUACUCAACAAAAUUGAGUGAAACAAAAAGGAAAGUUGUAGUACUUGACGAGACGAAGAGAUUGAUACCUACCUCGACUCCUAACUCGCCGGGGAUUCGCCGAAAAAACCAGUCCGGCGACCCAAGGAAGAAGAAGGUGCGCGUGGGGGCGCGUAGGUCUGUGCCUUCCUUGGCGCGUGGGGGCGCGUGCUACAGUAAAAAAUUAUUUUAAAAAUAUGUCGACGUCCGUGACGUCGAGUAGAUCACUGUGGUAUAUUCAUAUACCCAAAUUGAGCACCGUAUGAGAAAGUUAUUAAGGAUUGUUGUUUAGGUGUUCAAAUAACGUUUUAUAGUUUUUGCAUUUAGGUGAUAAUAUGAAUUGACGAUCCGACCGUUGGAUCGUUACCAAACUUUGAUACGUUGUAAUACGUAAUAUUUGAGGAUUAUUGGAACUUACGGAUUAGGAAUCCGAGUUACGGAUCUUCCGGAAUUGGAAUUGUAAGUUCAUAAAAUAAAAUGUUAACCGUCACUUAGUUUUGGAAAUUGACGGAGAUCCGACCGUUG